ACUUGCCAAAUUUAUCUUCAUAUAUAAUAACAACAGUGCUUAAAGUUUGUGUCUGAUCAUGGAUACGUAGGUAUUUUGCCUUUAUUAUCGUUCUUUAUCAAAUACUUAUAUAUGUAAAUCCUCUUAGAGUACAAAGCCUUCAAUACAAGGUUCUGGAAAUUAUAAAAAUAAAAAUUCAAUUAAUGGAUUCCAACAAAAUGAAUAAAUCAUAGUCCAUACAUAUUCUUAAAGGACUUUUGUGUACUCUCUUGGUUCUUGCACAACAUACAAAAUCACUUGGGAUUAGGUUUUUAUUUGAACUACGGUCUAACACAUUUAUAAAUACCGUUGACACACUUCACGACCAAAUAAGACGGACACAUAUUUUUUGCACAAUCAUCAUCUCUGAAACAUUUUCUACGACCAACCGUUUCAAUGAAAAAAGAGAAUAAAAAAAUGUAACUAAAAUAAGAUGAAAUUAUUUUGUAAGAAGUAAAGAAGUAAAUUAUAAAAGAUAAAAAAAAAAGGAUUACCGUCAAUAUUUUUUGCAGCAAUAAAUGAGCAAAGAAAUAUAAUUAUAACACAUAUAAACUUGAAACUUUCAGCCAUAUUCUCCAACUCUAUGUAACAGUUGGUUUUAUCACUUUAUAAUUUUCAAUGCUCAUCCUCUACUUAGGUAUUCAUUUUAUGUAUCUUUAAAUGGCCCUUGUGAAGUUGUAAAAAGCCUUUUAUAAAAUUACAACAAUUAUUUUAUAUAUUUUCAAAUGUUUCUUUGAGGGUUUUGGUUCAUGUUCCCUCUCUCUUUUGUUUUGUAUAUCUUUUAUCUUCCAUAAUAUAUUAUGGGAUUGCAGCUCUUGCUGCAAUUUCCUUGUUUAAAAAAAAUGGCCCUUGUAAAGUUUAAGAAAUCUUUUAUAAAAUUAGAACCAUUAUUAAAUGUAUAUCCAUGUCUUGUGUUUGUCCCUUCAACACACUUAGUAAAAAGAAAACUUAAUUAAAAAAUUGACCAAUCAUAAGAGUUCAUUAUAUUUUUAAUAAAUUUCAAAAAUUGUAUAAGCUUUGAUGACCGAGAAAGGGAAAAUCUCAAAAUAUGAAUAAUAACCUAAUAAAUGUGGAUUAUUAUCUUUAAAUUAUCAACUUAAUAUAAUGAUGUCUUGAGUGAUUUCAUGAUCUAAAUCAUCUAAUAUGUGUCAAUAUAUAAUUUUAUAAAUUAAUUUAAUUUUAAUUGUUAUUUAGUCAUUUUUCAUUAUUGAUGCUUGUUAUGGUUGGUUUGUUAGACCGAAAUUAGUUGCAUAACAAAGCACCUAAUUUUUUAGGAUAACAAAGAAUGUACAAUGCAUGUAUGAGAACACUUAGGAUAAUGUUUGUUUAGAUGUGCAAAAUAUUUUAAGUAUAAGAGAAGUUUUGCUUUUGGACCAAGCUAAAGCUCUCGACACCGGUCAACACUCUGAACAACUUGUUAACACUUUGGACCUUGAUAAAUCUUAUGUCAAAGAUAAAUACUAUGAUUUCUACUACUAAUAUGAAGGUAAACUAUGUGGAAGUCAAUGUUGUGGUUUGAGGCUCUAGAUUAAGAUCGUUUGUUAGCAUUGACUCAAGGUCUCAUUAUCGAUGCCUAAAAUUACUCUUUGCUAAGAAAGGAAACAUUGUUCUGACUUGUGUACUACUAAUAUGAAGGUAAACUAUGUGGAAGUCAAUGUUGUGGUUUGAGGCUCUAGAUUAAGAUCGUUUGUUAGCAUUGACUCAAGGUCUCAUUAUCGAUGCCUAAAAUUACUCUUUGCUAAGAAAGGAAACAUUGUUCUGACUUGUGAAAAGGACUAAAAUUUAUUAAGAGCAUCAUUGAUGAAAAUGAAUGGUUGAUAUGCUGACUGCAAUUAAUCAAGAAUAAUUGAAUAUUCAAUCAAAUACUCCCUCCGUCCCAUAAUAUAAGCAAAAAAAAACUCAUUUUCAUUGUCCCAAAAUAUAAGCAAAAAAGACAAACAUUUAUCCUAUUUAAUCUUGUUUUUUUUAAAAUCUCUUUUUCAAGAAAAACUUUUGUUUAUUCUCAUAAAAUUAAAUGCAAAUUACAUUCAAUUUUCUCUCUCUUUCAUUUUUUGCAUAACCAAUGGCCAAUGAAAAUUGUUUUUACUUCUUCCUGUAACACUUUUUCCAAAGAAAACACAAAAAAUUAUACUCCAAAUUCUUAUACUUUAGUUUUCUUAAUAAGUGUGAUUCUUUAUUUUUUGCUUAUAAUUUGGAACGGAUGGAGUAUUCAAAUACAAGAUAUCUUCAACACCAAGCUUCAGCUAUAUAUAAAUACGAAGUUUGAUCGAAUAAGGUCUAAACACUUGAACAUAUUCACAUACAUACAUAUACAAGUGUAACCUGUUCAUAUACUCUUUUAAUUAUAUACAUACUUAUUUAUAAUAUAUUGUCCUCUAAAGGAACCACUUGUGUAACACCGUUGAACCCCACAAAAAAUAUUUAAUGCAAAUAAAUCAUUUAAUUAAAAGAAUUCAAGAUGUUACGUUAUCAUUUUCUCAAAAACAUGCAUAAUUUGUUUUUCAUAAAUCCUGCAGCAGAAUAAAAACAUCUUAAAUAAAUAAUAUAUAAAGAAAUUAAUUAAAUAAAAUUCUAAAAUCGGGUCGUUAUACAUGUGAGUUCCGACAGUGUUAAAAUUGUAUGUUUCUUUUCCUUUUCGGAUGUUUGCUUCUAUGUAAGAUGUCCUGGAACUCGAGAAUAGAAUUCCUCCCUUUAUAAUGCCUCCUGAGGCCUCUUGAAUCUUCAUUCUUCAUCUUCCCAAGAUCUUCACAGAUCUUCGGAUGUCUUGCAUUGCCUAUAUGCAUGAUUUCUUCGUGAAUUUACGACAAAACAUCCUAAAAUUUCUAAGUUUCAGAAAGAACAUAAUUACAUACUCAAAUAUGGAAAACAUUACAAAUGUCCAUAAAUUUUAAGUAAAUUAUUCUAAUACUCCUCUUUUGUGCUUGUUAAACCUACUGAAAUUGACUGAAAAACGUGUAAAGAAUAACGUAAUAUGACAUAUCAUCAAUAGUCACGCGACAAUAUAUCUAUUUUUGGAAGGUGAUCAACGAAAACAUCGCUGAUAUAGCCAAGAGUGGGUAUCCUUGGAACACACUUGUCUUCUUCAUGAACUCUUGUGGAGAGUGGGUGUUCUAGUAUGUGACAUGGAGGAUGAUCCUCAGCAGAAAAUUGAUUAAGAAAUUAGCCAUUAAAAAAUUUACGAUUUUGAGGCUAUCAAACAAAUCAAAUAAAGUUUAACUUGAUCUAGCAACCGACUAUUUAAUGCUUUCACAUAGUCAUAUAGUAAAAGGUGAUAUUUUCCUCUAUAAUCACAAGAACAACAAAAAAUAUUGUUGGAAAAAUGAUUAAAAUGUGAUACCCUAAACCAAAAGUGAUUUAAUUACACAAUUUGUAAAACUAAACUUAUUUAGUGAAAGCACUGUGUCUUCGGAGAUUUCCAUCUCCAUAAUAUUACUCAAUAAUAAGAUAGAUCAAAUUUUAAUACAAGUAUUAGAAAAUAGUACAAAGAAACUAACACAAUGGAGCUAGUUUACAACAUAUGUCUCAGGAUUUGUCUUAUAGAAUAUAAAUGAACGCUUAGAGAACUAAAAAGAUGGAGAAAAUGAUUAUUAGGCUUAUUUGGAGCAAGAUCUAAUAACUCAAACGAAUCUUAAUAUGAGCACACUCAACAGAAAAGUAUGCAUAAAAACAAGCACUCAAUCUUUGUUAAGUUCACUUUUUGUAUGACUAUGCUUAAUGUUCUCAAACACUCGUGAGAAUAUAAGUCCCUACUAUAUUUAGAGAAGGAAUAUUGCACGUAGGGGUCUAUGGAACCAUAGCUGGAACAGGUCUUAAUUUGUUAGGUGUCGCGAGUAUAAACAUUAAAUACUCUUUGAUCUUGGAACAUGGGAUAUCCAAUAAGGACAUAUAAGAGGUAUUUGAAUAAUCUAAUUAAUCGUCGUCAUCAAUCUAUUUCAGACCAUUAUUUUUUAUUCUCAAACAACCAUUCUUGUAAAAGCUCUCCAAUUUAUUUCUUUUAUCAUAAGUUUAGUUAAUUACCGAGUUGAAAACAACAAUCUAUGUGGAGACGAUAACUUACAACUUUUUUAUUUUUACUUGAAAAAAUUUGAUGUACUUGUUAAAAUUUGUCAACAUCUAUACCUAUUAAUAAAUGCAAUACAUUUUUGGUCUAGCCUAUUUUAUUUCCUAUUUUACCCCUAAUUAAUUGCAAAUAUUCCAUAAUAUAAACGGUUAAAAGUUAAGUUGGUUACAUUACCAUGUUUGAAAAUCAAAAUAUAACUUCUUUCCCUUACAAUCUCCUUUCCAUUACAACAUUCUGCCACAAUUUUCAUUCUACCAUUUUUUUCAGUAGCACCAUUUCAUUCCAUUGAUAUUAUUACCUUCCCAUUAAAUUUAAAGUCAUGCUUGCUCACUACAUGCGUGCAGCUUUCAGGCCUUUACAACUUACAAGGCUAUGCGUUCCUUCCAAUGACUUUCUUCUUUAUAUUAUCUUUUUUUUUUUUGUGAAGAAUUCUCUUAUAUUAUCUCUCUCAAUUUCUAUCUCAAAAUAAAACAAUGACGAUUUUAUUUCAAUCAUUAGUUUUUUUUAAGGAAUCAUCAACUUUUUUAUACUUGUUACAUUUAUCAUUGAAGUACAUAUAAUAGGGUGAUUUAUGGCAGUUUCUCUCUCUUUCUAUUUGACAAUUGCAAAUGAGAAUUGAGGAUUGACCAGUUCUAUUGUUUUUCUUCUCAGGGCAAAAAACAAAAAAACGAAAGAAAAUGAGAGACGUUCCAAAUUACAAUUGCAAGAGAGACGUUUCAUCCAAAGAUAAAGAGGAAAGCAUGACAGGGUUUCACCAAGUUUCUAUAUUUCUUUUCCCUUUUAUCAUCCAUUUAUUUUAACAAAGAGAAAUAUACAUUUCAUCCAUUUGACAAUAGGGUACAUACUUUCAUAAUACAUUUCUUAUUUUUAAUUUCGAUUUCAGUAUGAAUUUAGUUGGUGAUUUUAUUGGUCAAAUUUUUGUUUCUAUUAUAUCCUUCAUUGACUUUUUCUUCAAACUUCCCUUACAAUGAUUUAUUGUAUUCAUUUGUUUUCCUUUAGUUUUCAUAUGCAAUUCCAAUUAUAUUUUAAUCCCUUUUUUAGUGUGGAAAAUUGAUGUAACUUCUAUUAUGUUUCAAUCUUCUAAUCUUCCUUUUUUUUUGUUUGAACAUGAAUCUUCUAACCUUAAUUUGUUUUCAUUUUUUUCUUCAU
Molecule: long non-coding RNA, 5227 nt
Filed under: Medicago truncatula (barrel medic)
Lineage: Eukaryota; Viridiplantae; Streptophyta; Magnoliopsida; Fabales; Fabaceae
Description: long non-coding RNA (MTRU_LNC000226)
Source: RNAcentral